Molecule: long non-coding RNA, 502 nt
Filed under: Mus musculus (house mouse)
Lineage: Eukaryota; Metazoa; Chordata; Mammalia; Rodentia; Muridae
Description: predicted gene 45272
Source: RNAcentral
ACUAUGAGAUCUAAAUUAUUGGAGGGUGAAUUUCUACAGUCGAAGGUGGAAUUUUAUGAUCUGGCUGAGAUUCUCAGACAGGGUAACUUAGGUACACAAGAGGCCAUCCCACCUGAAGCUUUGCAAGGAGAGGAUAAUUAGAGCUCUCCUGCUGCUCAAAUGUAGGGACCACCAAACUACUUUGAUUAGGUCCACCUUUGUGCCAUGCAUGCAGUCAGGAAAGUUACUGAAGAUGCUAAGGUCCUGCUCAGAGGCCCGAAGCAAAAGCUCAAUGAAUAUUUUGCAGAUUUUACAUAUUGAGUUCAAGAGACUGUUGACUGUUGGUGGAGAAAUAGAGGACUCAAUCAACUCAACCUGAGACAAAUGGAAUAGUUAUGGAAAUCCAGAAAGUCUACCAGCUGCUUUGACCAAGCACCUAAAGAAAACAAGUACAGAAGACAUACGAAAUCCCCAUUUUCACACAUGAGUACCUUGACUUUAAAAGAGCUGAGUUAGAAUACUG